ACUCCUACGGGAGGCAGCAGUGGGGAAUUUUGGACAAUGGGCGCAAGCCUGAUCCAGCCAUGCCGCGUGCGGGAAGAAGGCCUUCGGGUUGUAAACCGCUUUUGUCAGGGAAGAAAAGGUUCUGGCUAAUACCUGGGACUCAUGACGGUACCUGAAGAAUAAGCACCGGCUAACUACGUGCCAGCAGCCGCGGUAAUACGUAGGGUGCAAGCGUUAAUCGGAAUUACUGGGCGUAAAGCGUGCGCAGGCGGUUAUGCAAGACAGAGGUGAAAUCCCCGGGCUCAACCUGGGAACUGCCUUUGUGACUGCAUGGCUAGAGUACGGUAGAGGGGGAUGGAAUUCCGCGUGUAGCAGUGAAAUGCGUAGAUAUGCGGAGGAACACCGAUGGCGAAGGCAAUCCCCUGGACCUGUACUGACGCUCAUGCACGAAAGCGUGGGGAGCAAACAGGAUUAGAUACCCGGGUAGUCCCAUGA
Molecule: ribosomal RNA, 474 nt
Filed under: uncultured organism
Description: partial 16S ribosomal RNA
Rfam family: Bacterial small subunit ribosomal RNA
Source: RNAcentral